Tympanuchus pallidicinctus (lesser prairie-chicken) is the source of this 420-nucleotide long non-coding RNA. RefSeq lists it as uncharacterized. The record is from RefSeq and is a predicted model, not a curated record. The transcript has 3 exons. NCBI's taxonomy places the organism in Eukaryota, Metazoa, Chordata, Aves, Galliformes, Phasianidae.
AGGUCAAUCCUUGGAGGUCAGCCCUUGGGGGUCAAUCCUUGGAGGUCAAUCCUUGGAGGUCAAUCCUUGGGGGUCAGCCCUUGGAGGUCAAUCCUUGGAGGUCAAUCCUUGGGGGUCAAUCCUUGGAGGUCAAUCCUUGGAGGUCAAUCCUUGGAGGUCAAUCCUUGGAGGUCAGCCCUUGGAGGUCAAUCCUUGGAGGUCAAUCCUUGGAGGUCAAUCCUUGGAGGUCAGCCCUUGGGGGUCAGCCCCCUUGGAGGUCAAUCCUUGGAGGUCAAUCCUUGGAGGUCAAUCCUUGGAGGUCAGCCCUUAGAGGUCAGCCCUUGGGGGUCAAUCCUUGGAGGUCAGCCCUUGGAGGUCAGCCCUUGGAGGUCAGCCCUUGGGGGUCAAUCCUUGGAGGUCAGCCCUUGGGGGUCAAUCCUU